Non-coding RNA from Paramuricea clavata, 144 nucleotides. The record is from the annotation of a GenBank genome assembly. Lineage: Eukaryota; Metazoa; Cnidaria; Anthozoa; Malacalcyonacea; Plexauridae.
GAUAGUCCAUCACUGCUGUAUAACUUUUCAUAUGUAGCCUUGCUGAUAAUAUUGGAUUUCUUCAAAAAUCCAAUAUUAUCAGCAAUAAUCCAAUAUUAUCAGCAAGGCUACAUAUGAAAAGUUAUACAGCAGUGAUGGACUAUC